RNAcentral lists this ribosomal RNA (490 nucleotides) under uncultured bacterium. RNAcentral describes it as "partial 16S ribosomal RNA". It matches the Rfam family "Bacterial small subunit ribosomal RNA", at positions 30 to 507 of the family's 1533-position model. The record is from RNAcentral.
AUUGAACGCUGGCGGCAGGCCUAACACAUGCAAGUCGAACGGUAACAGGAAGCAGCUUGCUGCUUCGCUGACGAGUGGCGGACGGGUGAGUAAUGUCUGGGAAACUGCCUGAUGGAGGGGGAUAACUACUGGAAACGGUAGCUAAUACCGCAUAACGUCGCAAGACCAAAGAGGGGGACCUUAGGGCCUCUUGCCAUCGGAUGUGCCCAGAUGGGAUUAGCUAGUAGGUGGGGUAACGGCUCACCUAGGCGACGAUCCCUAGCUGGUCUGAGAGGAUGACCAGCCACACUGGAACUGAGACACGGUCCAGACUCCUACGGGAGGCAGCAGUGGGGAAUAUUGCACAAUGGGCGCAAGCCUGAUGCAGCCAUGCCGCGUGUAUGAAGAAGGCCUUCGGGUUGUAAAGUACUUUCAGCGGGGAGGAAGGGAGUAAAGUUAAUACCUUUGCUCAUUGACGUUGCCUGCAGAAGAAGCACCGGCUAACUCCGUG